UACGAAUGGAGCAAGCGUUGUUCGGAAUCACUGGGCUUAAAGCGUGCGUAGGCGGACAUGAAAGUCAGGAGUGAAAUCCCCGGGCUUAACCCGGGAAUUGCCUUUGAAACUCCAUGUCUAGAAUCCGGUAGAGGUCAGGAGAAUUCCAAGUGUAGAGGUGAAAUUCGCAGAUAUUUGGAGGAAUACCAGUGGCGUAGGCGCCUGACUGGGCCGGUAUUGACGCUGAGGUACGAAAGCAUGGGGAGUAAACAGG
Molecule: ribosomal RNA, 253 nt
Filed under: uncultured bacterium
Lineage: Bacteria
Description: partial 16S ribosomal RNA
Rfam family: Bacterial small subunit ribosomal RNA
Source: RNAcentral